RNAcentral lists this ribosomal RNA (634 nucleotides) under uncultured bacterium. RNAcentral describes it as "bacterial SSU rRNA". It matches the Rfam family "Bacterial small subunit ribosomal RNA", at positions 9 to 655 of the family's 1533-position model. The record is from RNAcentral.
GAGUUUGAACCUGGCUCAGGAUGAACGCUGGCGGCGUGCCUAAUACAUGCAAGUCGAGCGAACCACUUUGGUGGUGAGCGGCGAACGGGUGAGUAACACGUAGGUGAUCUGCCCAUCAGACGGGGACAACGAUUGGAAACGAUCGCUAAUACCGGAUAGGACGAAAGUUUAAAGGUGCUUCUGGCACCGCUGAUGGAUGAGCCUGCGGCGCAUUAGCUAGUUGGUAGGGUAAAGGCCUACCAAGGCGACGAUGCGUAGCCGACCUGAGAGGGUGAACGGCCACACUGGGACUGAGACACGGCCCAGACUCCUACGGGAGGCAGCAGUAGGGAAUCUUCGGCAAUGGGCGAAAGCCUGACCGAGCAACGCCGCGUGAAUGAUGAAGGCCUUCGGGUUGUAAAAUUCUGUUAUAAGGGAAGAACGACUUUAGUAGGAAAUGGCUAGAGUGUGACGGUACCUUAUGAGAAAGCCACGGCUAACUACGUGCCAGCAGCCGCGGUAAUACGUAGGUGGCGAGCGUUAUCCGGAAUUAUUGGGCGUAAAGAGCGCGCAGGUGGUUGAUUAAGUCUGAUGUGAAAGCCCACGGCUUAACCGUGGAGGGUCAUUGGAAACUGGUCGACUUGAGUGCAGAAGA